Molecule: small nucleolar RNA, 100 nt
Organism: Piliocolobus tephrosceles (Ugandan red Colobus)
Lineage: Eukaryota; Metazoa; Chordata; Mammalia; Primates; Cercopithecidae
Product: small nucleolar RNA U13
Exons: 1
Source: RefSeq, a predicted model, not a curated record
AUCCUUUUGUAGUUCAUGAACAUGGCUGGGUGUUACGUGCGUGUGUGCAACGUGCCGCCCUCCAGCCGUGUUAUGAUGUUGACACAUUACCCAUCUGACA